This is a long non-coding RNA of Peromyscus californicus insignis, 3992 nucleotides long. RefSeq lists it as uncharacterized. The transcript has 2 exons. NCBI's taxonomy places the organism in Eukaryota, Metazoa, Chordata, Mammalia, Rodentia, Cricetidae. The record is from RefSeq and is a predicted model, not a curated record.
AAAAAAAAAAAACCAACAAAAAACCAAAAACCAAAACAACAAAACCAAACCAACAUCCUAGAAUAAAUAUCCUAGAUGGCUAUUCCCACCCUGCUUUUUAAAGAUAGAAUCUCAAUAUGUAAACCAGGCUCACAACAGAACUGCUUCUGGCUUCUUCAGGUGAGAUUAAAGGUAUGUGGCAGAAUGUCCGACAGCUAAUUUUUAGAGGGCUGGUGUAUAUUAAGAGGUUUGGCUUUGGGGUUGAAGAGAUGGCUCAAUGGGUAAGAACGAGAAGCAUGAGUUCAAAUCUCCAGCACCCAUGUGAAAAAGCUGGGCAGUGACACAUGGCCCGUCAUCCCAGGGCUGGGGGGAGGGGAGACAGGAGUGUCCCUGGGUCUUGCAGGCUGCCAGCCUUGCUCCAGGUUCAGUGAGGGACCCUGUUUCAAGAGGACAUGGCAAGUGUGAUGGAGCAGGACACACACGUGCAUAUGCCACACACACACCACACUCAUAUACACACACCCCCCAAAUUAAUUUAAAUGAAAAAUAAAGGAAGAGGUGGGGCUGUUAAGAGCAUCCGGGCUCCCCCUUUGUGAACAGGAUUAAGGCCCACACGAGGCACCCUUCCCUCCCACCAGCAUAGGCUCUACUCCUGCACUGGCUUCUCACUGUCUCUCCCCAAGCUCAAGCUUCUGUUAUAUUAGACAUUCUCACUCGCGGACACUGCCCAACUUCCCUUUUAACCUUUGUCUUAGUCAGCUUCAGACAGAGCCCCGUGGCACAGAACUUGCCUAGUGAGCCUGAAGUCCAAGGUUUCAUUCUUAAUCUUGCCCCCCAACAUUUUUUCUACUCCAUUUUUUUCUUCUUAUCUUCGGUUAGAUCUACAAUCUGUCCUUCCUAUGAGCCUUCCUUUGUUCAUCUCAUUGGUUAGCUAGUUUAUUUCAAGGAAAUCUAUUUAGUUCUUUAUCAAAAUGUAUUUUUAUGCUUACUUGGUGUGUGUGCACACGAAAUCUGUGUAUGUACAACUGGUGUGUGUGGGGGGGUCUGUCCUCUCCUUCCACCACACGGGCCCUGGAGGGUGACUCACAUCACCUCUCUCACUUCUUGGUAAUGUAUGUUCAUCAAGCCAACAAGCCAGACCUGAGAAGCUCAAACUGGAGAGUUAGUAACAUGGAUGCCAGAGGAGCCAGUGGUAGCAGGAGUGAUUCAGGCAGGUACAGUCUCCUGGGAAUGGGUCCUAGUACCAUUGGUGGAUAACAGAAUCUGAAUGUUCAAGGCCCUAAUCCAAAAUGGUGUGCUAUAUAUGUAUAACUUCCACACAUCUUCUGGUACGGUACAUUUUAAAUCACAUUUAGACUUUUUACAAAUCUUAAAGAUUUCUGUGUAUGUGUUUGGUGUAUAUGCAUGUGUGUUUGGUGUGUAUGCAUGUGUGUUUGGUGUGUAUGCAUGUGUGUUUGCAUGUGUGUUUGGUGUAUAUGCAUGUGUGUUUGGUGUAUAUGCAUGUGUGUUUGGUGUGUGAGAGGAAGCCAGAGAAAGACGUUGUGCAACCUGCUCUCUCUCUUUCCACCCAUUCCCUUGAAAUGGGGUCUCUCACUAAACUUGGAGCUGGGCUGGCAGCCAGCAAGCCCAGCGGUCCUCCUGUCUCUGCCCCUCACAGUGCUGGGGUUACAGGUUUAUGUAACCAGGCCUGGCUUUUCACAUAGGUUCUGGGGAUCUGAACUUAGGUCCUUACACUUGUGCAGCAAGCCUAUUUCCCCUAUGAGCCAUCUCUUCAGCCCUACUUUUUUUUUUUGAGACAGAGCCUACAUAGUGCACCCAGGUUGGCCUCAAACUCACCAUGUAGUGAAGGAUGACCCUAAAUUCCUGAUCUUUCAGCCUCUACCCCUGACUGCUGGGAUCACAGGUCCGAGUCAACACUUUUAUAGUUCUGAGGAUGGGACCCAGGGCUUCAUGUACACUAGGCAAGCACUCUACCAAAAUGCCCUCUAACCCAGCCCAUUACAGUACUAUCAUACCCAAGACAACGGAAUGCUAUGUAUAUGUAAUUAGUUCUUAUUCCAUACUGUUUAGGGAAUGACAAGAAAAAUAUUGUAGAUGUCCAGUACGUAUGAGAUGAUUCUCCUGAAUAUUUUUGCAUGUGUGUAGUUGGUUGAAUUUAUGGAUGUUAUGGAUGUGGAACUGGUGGAUACAGAAAUUGGAGUAUAGGAAUAACAAGAAGCAGGAAGUCCCCGGGGAAAAUGAAUAGUCCAUGCCAUGUCUGAAUGUGGGACUACUACUCAGUUCCAGCCAGCUAGUCACAUAAGAAUGGAGCCCACUGUUGCCAGAGCUCCCAAGAAGUCACAGAUAAAGGCACAUACCUAACCUUUGUUAACAGCAGUAGGAAAAAAACAUGGCUGACAUAAUACACAGCUGCAUCAAAGAUGACUUCAUACUCUGUUUCUGGACACUCCUGAGGACAUUGAACAUGAUGCUGCAAGAGUCCCCUGUAGAGGACUCAACUGGGUCACUCAUGGUGGCAACACCUCUAUGCCAGCACUAGGGAGAAAGAAGCAGGUCAGUCUCUGUGAGUUUGAGGGCAGCCUGGUCUACAGAGAGUUGUAGGCCAGCCAGGGCUACAUAGUGAGACCCUGCUUAAAAAAAACAAAACAAAACAAAACAAAGGACCUACUGUAGUGAUAUACUGUGUACCCUACUAAACUUGCCUGGGGGAUCAGAGGAGAGAGCCAGCCACUAGAUUAAACAUAGAGGCCAGACAGUGGUGGCACACACCUUUAAUCCUAGUAUCCGGAAGCACACACACCUUUAAUCCCAGGAAGUGACGGCAGGGCGGAGAAAGAUAUAUAAGGGGUGAGGAAACAGGAACUAAGGCAGUUCAGCUGAGACCCUUUUGCGUGAGGACUCAGAGGCUUUCAGUCUGAGGCAACAGGAUUGGCUGAGGAGUUGGCAAGGUGAGGUUGGCUGUGGCUUGCUCUGCUUCUCUGAUCUGUCAGCUUUCACCCCAAUAUCUGGCUCUGAGUAUUUCUUUUUAUUAAAAGACCAUCUAAGAUUCAAACAACAACCUACUGCCUCAGCCUCCUUGAUUCCUACAGCUAAUGCUUUGGGAACAGCUCCUUCUUUUUGCCAUUAGCAGCAAAAAUCUUCAAUUUAUUGAAAAGUUUCAAGCCGGUGCAGUGAGCUCCCAGAAGCAGUCAGCACGGUUUUCUCUCCCCAACACCUUCAUAACUGCCCGUUACCACUAACUGAAUUCCUGCCCUCACCUAGGUCUCCUUAGCUUUGCCAACUAUGCCCCUUCUACCCCAGAACCCACCGAAGACACAUUUUUAAUCCAGUGGCUUUUAUCCUUAUUUACUUUUUGGUAGUGAAGGGAUGAAACCCAGGGUCUCACAUAUAUUUUAAGUAUACACUCUACCUCCAGUCCCUAAUUUAAUUUUAUUUUUAACUUUACAAGCAUGUGCUUUAGCUGGGUGUGGUGGUGCGCACUUAUAAUCUCAGCACUUGGGAGGCAGAAGCAGAAGGAUGACACAAGUUCAAGGCUAGCCUGGUCUACAUAGGGAGUUCUAGGCCACCCAGGGAUAUACAUGUAUGACUCGGUCCCAAAAAAAUUAAAAAUAAAUAAAUAAAUGAAAACGAAAAACAAAAAUCAACAGAGCAGGUGGGAUAGCCCAGCAGAUAAACACAAUCGUCAUACAAGCCUGAUGACCUGAGUUUGAUUCCCCAAAUCUGCAUAAAUGCAAAAGAGAAUCAACUUCACAAAUUAUUUUUUACCUCUAUACACACACUGUAGCACAUGCACAACUCCUCAAUAUCACACACACACACAAGACAGGGUUUCUCUGUGUAGCCUUGGAUAUCCUGGAACAACUCAUUCUGUAGACCAGGCUGGCCUGAAACUCACAGAGAUCUGCCUGCCUCUUCCUCUCUCUCUCUCUCUCUCUCUCUCUCUCUCUCUCUCUCUCUCACACACACACACACACACACACACACACACACACACACACACACACACACACACA